This 407-nucleotide ribosomal RNA is filed under the name uncultured bacterium. RNAcentral describes it as "bacterial SSU rRNA". It matches the Rfam family "Bacterial small subunit ribosomal RNA", at positions 355 to 776 of the family's 1533-position model. The record is from RNAcentral.
UCGAGAAUUUUUCACAAUGGGGGCAACCCUGAUGGAGCGACGCCGCGUGGAGGAUGGAGGCCUUCGGGUUGUAAACUCCUGUCAUGCGGGAACAAGCAAGUGAUAGUACCGCAAGAGGAAGAGACGGCUAACUCUGUGCCAGCAGCCGCGGUAAUACAGAGGUCUCAAGCGUUGUUCGGAUUCAUUGGGCGUAAAGGGUGCGUAGGUGGUGACGCAAGUCUGGUGUGAAAUCUCGGAGCUUAACUCCGAAAUGGCACCGGAUACUGCGUAACUCGAGGACUGUAGAGGAGAUCGGAAUUCACGGUGUAGCAGUGAAAUGCGUAGAUAUCGUGAGGAAGACCAGUUGCGAAGGCGGAUCUCUGGGCAGUUCCUGACACUGAGGCACGAAGGCCAGGGGAGCAAACGGG